AUUGAACGCUGGCGGCAUGCUUUACACAUGCAAGUCGAACGGCAGCGCGGGCUUCGGCCUGGCGGCGAGUGGCGAACGGGUGAGUAAUGCAUCGGAACGUGCCCCGUAGUGGGGGAUAGCCCGGCGAAAGCCGGAUUAAUACCGCAUACGACCUGAGGGUGAAAGCGGGGGACCGAAAGGCCUCGCGCUAUUGGAGCGGCCGAUGUCGGAUUAGCUAGUUGGUGGGGUAAAGGCUUACCAAGGCGACGAUCCGUAGCUGGUCUGAGAGGACGACCAGCCACACUGGGACUGAGACACGGCCCAGACGCCUACGGGAGGCAGCAGUGGGGAAUUUUGGACAAUGGGGGCAACCCUGAUCCAGCCAUGCCGCGUGCGGGAAGAAGGCCUUCGGGUUGUAAACCGCUUUUGUUCGGGAAGAAAUCCUCUGGGCUAAUACCCCGGGGGGAUGACGGUACCGGAAGAAUAAGCACCGGCUAACUACGUG
Molecule: ribosomal RNA, 484 nt
Filed under: uncultured bacterium
Lineage: Bacteria
Description: partial 16S ribosomal RNA
Rfam family: Bacterial small subunit ribosomal RNA
Source: RNAcentral